GUGCUCAGUUUGGCAGUGUCUAUAUUAAAAUUGGAACUAUAUGGAGAAGAUUAGCAUGGCCUUCUGUGCAAAGAUGACAAACUUUAUGAUGCACUCCAGAUUUUU
Small nuclear RNA from Suricata suricatta (meerkat), 105 nucleotides. The record is from Ensembl. NCBI's taxonomy places the organism in Eukaryota, Metazoa, Chordata, Mammalia, Carnivora, Herpestidae.